Long non-coding RNA from Toxorhynchites rutilus septentrionalis, 4427 nucleotides. RefSeq lists it as uncharacterized. The transcript is spliced from 4 exons. NCBI's taxonomy places the organism in Eukaryota, Metazoa, Arthropoda, Insecta, Diptera, Culicidae. The record is from RefSeq and is a predicted model, not a curated record.
GCCAUCAAUGUUGUCACCGGUCAAAAUCGAAGUACCCGAAAUAGUUCCAGAUGCAAAAUACGAUCAACAGAAAUACUGCAACAACAUCUUCAGAGACGUGGCGGUUCCACAAUCUUUAGGAGGUAUACUGAAGCCAUCAAUAUUGAAGGUACCCUUACGCAAAGAAGAAGAAUUAUUAAUUAUAACAUAGAUUUAAGUUGUUAUUGAAAAUUGUAUUUUCAAGGUGGCCGGUUAAUGUUAGAUCUGAAAUGGAAUAUUGUAGAAAUCUAGCCAUCUAGUAAUCUUGCGAUUUGUGCACCCUAGCAACCCAAUGUUUUUCGCUCCUAUAGCAACGUUUUUUCACCAAGUUUGUUGCUUUGUAUCGAACCUUCAAGAAUGGAAGACGUAUUAAAGGGACUGAAGUUUUGUUAAAAACUCCGUGAGUUUUUUUAUGAAUACCCGAAAUAGUUCAACGAAUCGUUCGUUGUUCAACGCUACUGCUGUAAUAGAGGUGUUCCCCGAGUGUCCCCCGAGUGUCCCCCGAGUGUCCCCCGAGUGUUCCCCGAGUGUUCCCCGUCGAAACCAUCUGCGGUCCAUCUAGCGAUCGAGAUUGGAGUCCCCCAUUUGCACGAAGAAAUCCCAGUGAUUAACCAGUUGUAGAAAUCCCGCCCCAUUAGUGUUCAACCCCAUCAUUCACAAUUAAUGAAAAAUUGCAUUCUCUGCAGAUAAGAUUGUUUUGCUGAAAUGCAAGGAGAUUUAUUGAAAAAUAGUUAAGUUAGGGUCAGGACUAUGUCUUCUAAGUAUUUAAACAACAUCGAAUAAAAAUUUUCAUUCUAUUUUUAACAACUUACAUUUGCUUUCGGGUCUGCUUAUGACGAAAUAUGGGUUACUGUUCGAUAUUGUUACGACAGACAUGGUUCAUGGCCGUGUGGUGAUCUAAAACUUGUAUAGCCUUGCAUGGCGGAUGGAAAAUAUACACUGCAUUUCCUUAUAAAUUUCAUCAACGACAAGACCGCAAGCCUUGGUGGAUGUCCAAUAUAUCAACGCCGUUUUGAUUCAGUCCGCACUACCUAGGUUUGAACGACUCGUUGAACCAAUGAAAGCGAAUGUAAACAUUGUUCGAGGUAUUUGUGGAGGCAGUUCAAAUAGAAUCUCGGUUAAGGAAAGGUGGAAGGAAUUCAUUGAGGAGCUUAAUGCACUGAGACCACCAAUGUGUCUUGGUUCAGAAUGGCAGAAAAUUUGGAUUCACAUGAGGUGAAAGGUAAAGAAAACACUAGCACACAACAAGCGAGAAUUCAGGUCCACAGGGUAUGGCCCAAUACAAUAAAGCUAUUGACGCCGCUACAACAAGAAAUCGACGCUAAAAGAGAAUCACAUGCAAAAAAAAUAUUUUAUCAAGAAAAGUGGGAUUCAUGCGUGACUCCUUACGGAAUUCUAUAGAUUUUAGUUGUGUAAAUACAUGAAAAAUUUCAUUUUCUAAUAAUUAUAUUUUUUGUAAAGCAAAUUGUUCCAUGAUGUCGUUUUUAUUACUUAUCCAUGAAUGCAUUACGCCUAUUAAGCUCCAUUCGUUGAAGGAAUACCAGUUUUCUCCAAAACAUAACCAUUUUAACACUUUUGGAAAUAUAGAUAUUUAUAAUGUUCAUAACAGAUGUCUCAGAAAAAGAUUUGGCAUCCUUUCUAUAGUGCUUUGUGAAACAUUUCAAACUCGUUUCUAAAUAUUUCAGCACGGCCACUGACAUUCGAGCAGAGUAACGAAUCGAGCUGUUUUCCUCGAUUUCUAUAAUUCCAGAUUUUACUCGGUGUGAUAGUGAUAGUGACUGUAUCGAAUCCUCGAUUCGAUUUCUAUAAUAGGGCCCAUAGAAAUCGAGGAAUACAGCUCGAUUCAUUACUGUUGCUCGAAUGUCAGGGGUGGCGUUGAAAUAUUUUGAAACGGGUUUGAAAUGUUUCACAAAGCAAUAUAGAAAGGAUGCCAAAUCUUUUUUUGAGACAUCUGCUAUUAAAAUUAUAAAUAUCUAUAUUUCCAGAAGUGUUAAUAUGGUUAUGUUUUGGAGAAAACUGAUAUUCCCUUUUCGAAUGAAGUUUAUUAGGCGUAUGGCAUGCUUUGUUUCAUGUGCAAUAAAAACAUAUCCCAUAUAGCCCUCGAAGCGCUGGCGGCCGACCAAAUGUAAUAAAAACAACAGUCACGUAUGAAUUUAAUUUUUUUAGCAAAUUUUUUGACGUAGGAUUACGUCUUUCGGGAACAUAUUGGGGUACAAAUUGAAAAUCGAAAAUCGAGCACAUCGUGAAAAUUGUCCAAUUUCAAACACUUAUUGCUCAGUCAUUUCUCGAUGGAUUGAUGAAAUUUUUGCGUCAAUCGAUUUCGGCACUCCAUAACAAUUUUUUAUAUUGAAGAAAAUAAUAUAUGUCAUGAAAAUAACUAUCAAACAAUUGAAGAAUCCCAACCCGUAUCCUAACGGAAAUACCCACUUCUGAUUGGUCGAAAUUAACGACACAUGCGGCGGUUCCCUAGCAGAGACAUCAAAACCAAGCUGCCUGGGAGAAAUCGGCAUUGCAAAUACAUGAAAGUAGGGGGAACUUUUGUUCCUACCGAGAUGUGUUCCCUAACAGAGACAAACCAAACCAUCAAAACCAAGGUGCUCAGGGCAAAUCGUCAUUGCAAAUAUAUGCAAGUCGUGGGCAUUUUUAUAUUGCAAGUAAGGUGAGUGAUACGAUUAAUUCUAGCAAAUAAAAUUUAAAUUUGAAACUUUAAUGUUGGUUGCUCCGAGAAAUUUCAUAUCAGUGAACAAACAAUACCCAACAACCUAACAAAACGGUCCUUUUCAGGGCCACCAAAUCAUUAUCAAAGAGUUUAACGAUGUAAUUCUUUAAACAUAUCCAAAAUCAACAGAUAGCCUAACGGAAUCCUACGUCAACUAUGCGGUUUCGUCUCGGACACAACCUUCCUGUGACUUUUUUUUGUAUAUAAUCUUCUUAUUCAUUCUAGCAUGAAAUAACGAGUGGUUAGAGCUUAGGACUAGCAUGUGUGAACAAGGUUCAAUCAGAUUUCCAUUCACUGCUCUAUGAUAUAUUACGUCAAUUUGCGUAGUAAAAUUGUUUGGAAAAUUGGUGAUAGAGUAUUUGAAGUACAAACGACAUUCCGUAUUUCGUAGGUUCAGAGUUAAGAAAAUCUGUUUUAUUUGAAAAAACCGUGACAAUCAAUUUCUAAUAUAUAUUCAAUAUUACAUUAGUUUAAUAUAUAUUGACAUCUAGCUAAUUGGCUAUUGUAAUGCGACACGAAUAAUUGGACAUUUUUGCCUCUAAUUGGACAUCUUCGUAAGCAUCGAAUUCUGGACCCUAAUUACGGCCCCAGAAUGAGGGUCGACACUGUUUCACUGUCAUUGCGAAUGUCCAAUUACAGGUCACAAUCUCCUCUAAUGCAACACUGAGUGGUGCCUCGGUAUGUCUAAUAUGGGUAACUUACUGUUUGUAUCAUAGAUAAACACAUACUUUCUGCUAUUCUGAGCCAAGAUGCAUGGGUUUUCCCAGUGCAUUAAGCUUCUCACUGAAUUCCUCCAACUUUUCCUUGACCGGGAUUCUAUUUGAAAGUCUCGAGCAAUGUUUACGAGCCGUUCAAACUGGUAGUGAUUUGUUUUUUUGCCUUCUGUCCACUCAUUUCCAAUCAAUGAAAUAUGCGCUGGAUGUAAAUCCGGCAUUGUAAAUUUUAACAUGAUGGAUAUAAAUGAUUCAGUAUUAAACACUUACCUUGUGUAGACUGUUCUGGCAGCACCGGGAAACAAAUACUGAUCAAAACAAACGAAUGAAUCAAAACAUAGGGCCCUAUUAUAGAAAUCGAAUCGAGGAUUCGAUACAAUCACUAUCACUAUCACACCGAGUAAAAUCUGGAAUUAUAAAAAUCGAGGAAAACAGCUUGAUUCGUUACUCUGCUCGAAUGUCAGUGGCGUUGCAGAAAUAUUUUGAAACGAGUUUGAAAUGUUUCAUAAAGCAUAUAGAAAGGAUGCCAAAUCUGUUUUUGAGACAUCUGCUAUGAAAAUUAUAAAUAUCUAUAUUUCCAAAAGUGUAUAGAAGAAUAUGGUUUGUUUUGGAGAAAACUGAUAUUCCCUCAACGAAUAAAGCUCAAUAGGCGUAAUGCAUGCAUGGGUGUGUAAUAAAAACGACAUCAUGGAACAAUUUGCUUUACAAAAAAUAUAAUUAUUAGAAAAUGAAUAUUUUCAUGUAUUUUCACAACUGCAAUCUAUGGAAUUCCGUAAGGAGUCACCAGUCUUCAGAAUGCAAGAUUUUUGUACCCAGUUGAGCUCCCACUCCUUGUGCACACAUGCGCUCUGGCGAAUGAGCACGUUCCGAAACACAGAUGAAAUGUUUGGUUGUCAGCGCCGUUCUUACGCAGAGAUUUGCGCUGAGUUUUACGCUGAAAUUUGCGCCGUAUUGCUAUACUGCGCGAGUUAAAUAUU